UCUGUUAAAUAGGGUUCCAAGUGAGUCUGCAAUUAAGACUCCAUAUGAGAUAUGGAUAGGACGUAAGCCAGCACUUUCACACCUUAGGGAGUAUGAAACCUAAAGCAGUUAAUACAAAAUAGCAUGAUCAUGAUCAGGGAGACUAGGCACCAGGCUCGUGAUCAGAAGGAACAAAAUGAGGGAAUGACUCUGAAGUAGAAUCACGACCACGUCUGUCUCGGUCUCGACUGGAUGAUCUGGUCUGAGUAGAAGAGAUCGGGGGAUGGAAGGCGAUAGGCUGAACAAGGGUAGGCUCAAUGGAUACAAAGGGUCUAGACUGGAGCUGAGUCUUAAUGGCAUCUAGUUGAGAUAAGAUACCUCUCACUAAAACUCUAAGCCCCUC
RNAcentral lists this long non-coding RNA (382 nucleotides) under Elaeis guineensis (African oil palm). RNAcentral describes it as "long non-coding RNA (EGUI_LNC043460)". Lineage: Eukaryota; Viridiplantae; Streptophyta; Magnoliopsida; Arecales; Arecaceae. The record is from RNAcentral.